GAGGGUGUAGCUCAAGUGGUAGAGCGCAUGCUUAGCAUGCAUGAGGUCCUGGGUUCAAUCCCCACUACCCACU
RNAcentral lists this transfer RNA (73 nucleotides) under Camelus dromedarius (Arabian camel). It matches the Rfam family "tRNA". Rfam says of the family: Transfer RNA (tRNA) molecules are approximately 80 nucleotides in length. Their secondary structure includes four short double-helical elements and three loops (D, anti-codon, and T loops). The record is from Rfam by way of RNAcentral. RNAcentral also lists the same sequence under 1 other name. Lineage: Eukaryota; Metazoa; Chordata; Mammalia; Artiodactyla; Camelidae.